This 441-nucleotide ribosomal RNA is filed under the name uncultured bacterium. RNAcentral describes it as "partial 16S ribosomal RNA". It matches the Rfam family "Bacterial small subunit ribosomal RNA", at positions 338 to 795 of the family's 1533-position model. The record is from RNAcentral.
CCUACGGGUGGCAGCAGUGGGGAAUAUUGCACAAUGGGGGAAAGCCUGAUGCAGCAACGCCGCGUGAGGGAGGAAGGCCUUCGGUAUGUAAAGCUCUAUCAGCAGGGAAUAGAAAUGAAGGUACUUAACAUCGUAGCCUUGGCUAACUCCGCGCAAGCAGCCGCGGCUAUCUGGAGGGCGCGAGCGUUAUUCGGACUUAUUGGGUGAAAAGGGAGCGUAGGCGGAAAGGUAAGUCAGCGGUGAAAGCCCAUGGCUCAACGGUGGAACUGCUGUUGAAACUGGCGAACUGGAGUGCGUGAGAGGAUAGCGGAAUUCCUGGUGUAGGGGUGAAAUGCGUAGAUAUUAGGAGGAACACCAGUGGCGAAGGCGACUAACUGGAGCGAAACUGACGCUGAGGCUCGAAAGCGUGGGGAGCAAACAGGAUUAGAUACCCCGGUAGUC